GACGAACGCUGGCGGCGUGCCUAAUACAUGCAAGUAGAACGCUGAAGGAGGAGCUUGCUUCUCUGGAUGAGUUGCGAACGGGUGAGUAACGCGUAGGUAACCUGCCUGGUAGCGGGGGAUAACUAUUGGAAACGAUAGCUAAUACCGCAUAAGAGUAGAUGUUGCAUGACAUUUGCUUAAAAGGUGCAAUUGCAUCACUACCAGAUGGACCUGCGUUGUAUUAACUAGUUGGUGGGGUAACGGCUCACCAAGGCGACGAUACAUAGCCGACCUGAGAGGGUGAUCGGCCACACUAGGACUGAGACACGGCCCAGACUCCUACGGGAGGCAGCAGUAGGGAAUCUUCGGCAAUGGACGGAAGUCUGACCGAGCAACGCCGCGUGAGUGAAGAAGGUUUUCGGAUCGUAAAGCUCUGUUGUAAGAGAAGAACGAGUGUGAGAGUGGAAAGUUCACACUGUGACGGUAUCUUACCAGAAAGGGACGGCUAACUACGUGCCAGCAGCCGCGGUAAUACGUAGGUCCCGAGCGUUGUCCGGAUUUAUUGGGCGUAAAGCGAGCGCAGGCGGUUAGAUAAGUCUGAAGUUAAAGGCUGUGGCUUAACCAUAGUACGCUUUGGAAACUGUUUAACUUGAGUGCAAGAGGGGAGAGUGGAAUUCCAUGUGUAGCGGUGAAAUGCGUAGAUAUAUGGAGGAACACCGGUGGCGAAAGCGGCUCUCUGGCUUGUAACUGACGCUGAGGCUCGAAAGCGUGGGGAGCAAACAGG
RNAcentral lists this ribosomal RNA (763 nucleotides) under uncultured Streptococcus sp. RNAcentral's name for it is "bacterial SSU rRNA". It matches the Rfam family "Bacterial small subunit ribosomal RNA", at positions 28 to 776 of the family's 1533-position model. Lineage: Bacteria; Bacillati; Bacillota; Bacilli; Lactobacillales; Streptococcaceae. The record is from RNAcentral.